AAGGAAAUGGCAAACCACUCUAGCAUGUCUGCCAAGAAAGCCCCAAAAUGGGGUCAUGAAGAGUCUGAAAUGACUCUAUAGCAAUAAAUACAGGUAUCACAUCAAGAAAAGCUUCCUAACUGUCAGAGCUACAAAAAAUAGAUUAAGCUUCCUCCCAAGAUAGUAGGUUGCCCCUCACGAAAAAUCUUUUUUUUCUUUUUCUUGGUGAGGAAACUGGUGUUAAGUGACUUGCCAAGGGUCACACAGCCAGUACAUGUUUAAGGCAGGAUUUGCACUCAGAUUUUCUUGAAGCCAGAUCCAGCACUUUGUCCUUGGGCCACUAGCUGUGUAUAUUUGAUAUGUAUGCAUAUGGAUGUUUCUCAGGAUAGAAUGGAAGCCUCUUGAGGGCAGGGAUUGCUUUGGUUGUUUCUGUUUUGUUUGGCUUUCUGUUUUUAUCUUAUCUCUAGUGACUAGAAGAACCCUGUAGAGAGUUGGCUAUUAAAUACUUCCUAGCUGUUUGAUAGGUUGAUAGAAGCAGGCAUAUUUAGCCCAGAGAAGAAAAGACUUCAUGCAGGACUUGGAAGAAUGUCAUGUAGACAAGAACCAGUCAUGUUCUCCUUGAACCCAAAGGACAGAACCAGGAGCAAUGAGGUGCCCAGGGCAGAACAAGGGUCCUAUCAGUGAGAGCUGCUCUAGAGUGGAGGCUGCCUAGGGAGGUAUUGAGCAUGCCAUCCUUGGAGGUCUGGAGGACUACUUCUCAUUGAGGGGGUAGUGAAGACUCCUCUUCAGGGGUGGGUUCCACUAAGUAUACUCUGGGUCCCUUCUGAUGCUUAAAUUCUGUGACUCACCCUCUCUCACUCCUAGGCCUUUAAAAAUGAAUAGCUUAUCUCAGGCUGUGGCCUUGGAAUACCAGUCCUCUGGAGUCAUCAUACAGAUAUGGGUGUGUGAGUGUGAAUGUGCUUGUGUGAUUGUUAGGGCAUGAAGAGAUGGAUGGGAAAGUUUGUGAGGAGAUCAGAGAUGGGGAAGAGCUUGGGAAGAGGGCAAGGGGGCCAAGGGAAGUGGGAUUGGUGAGAGGGAGCAGGUUUGGUGAGGUAACAGGAGGGUGGGGACAAAGAUGGGUGACCAGCUGAGGGGGAGGAAGCCUUUGGGAGGUGGGUAGAAUGAGAGCUAUGACCCUUCCAUCCAGUCAUCAACUUCUUUCUCCAGACUCUUACUCCUCUGUUAGUUUCCACCAACAUGAGCCAGACGUCACCCAGAAAAUUCUUGGUGAAGUCUUCAGAUGACUUUGUCAGAGAGGCCUUGGACAGCAUAGGUGUCUCUAACUUCACUUCUGGGUGUUUCCUACACUCUGUCCACAGCUUGUUGCUGUGGCCCCUGACCUCCAACUCCAAAUUCAUUAUCCCAAUUCUUCAACCCCCUCUUCAGAGCAUUCAGAAGAUCCUGAAGAAGUUGUGGGAAGGAGGUGGGGGCUGAAUUGGAGACCCUUUGUUGGGGGAGGGGUGGUGACUGCUGCUGGUGGGACUAGGGGGCAAACAGACGGAUUUCAUCUAGUUGGCUCAUCCCUCUGUCCUGCUUUCUAGGUUCCCUUUGAGGAGAAACCCUAGCCCCAAGAAGCCGUAGCUAUAAAUUGUUAUAAUAAAUUGUUUUCUCUUUA
This is a long non-coding RNA of Vombatus ursinus (common wombat), 1633 nucleotides long. RefSeq lists it as uncharacterized. Lineage: Eukaryota; Metazoa; Chordata; Mammalia; Diprotodontia; Vombatidae. The record is from RefSeq and is a predicted model, not a curated record. The transcript is spliced from 2 exons.